AUUGAACGCUGGCGGCAUGCUUUACACAUGCAAGUCGAACGGCAGCGCGGGCUUCGGCCUGGCGGCGAGUGGCGAACGGGUGAGUAAUGCAUCGGAACGUGCCCAGUAGUGGGGGAUAGCCCGGCGAAAGCCGGAUUAAUACCGCAUACGACCUGAGGGUGAAAGCGGGGGACCGAAAGGCCUCGCGCUAUUGGAGCGGCCGAUGUCGGAUUAGCUAGUUGGUGGGGUAAAGGCUUACCAAGGCGACGAUCCGUAGCUGGUCUGAGAGGACGACCAGCCACACUGGGACUGAGACACGGCCCAGACUCCUACGGGAGGCAGCAGUGGGGAAUUUUGGACAAUGGGGGCAACCCUGAUCCAGCCAUGCCGCGUGCGGGAAGAAGGCCUUCGGGUUGUAAACCGCUUUUGUUCGGGAAGAAAUCCUCUGGGCUAAUACCCCGGGGGGAUGACGGUACCGGAAGAAUAAGCACCGGCUAACUGCGUG
RNAcentral lists this ribosomal RNA (484 nucleotides) under uncultured bacterium. RNAcentral describes it as "partial 16S ribosomal RNA". It matches the Rfam family "Bacterial small subunit ribosomal RNA", at positions 28 to 507 of the family's 1533-position model. The record is from RNAcentral.